GCUCAGUUGGUAGAGCAUGGUGUUUGCAACACCAGGGUUGUGGGUUCGAUUCCCAC
Molecule: transfer RNA, 56 nt
Filed under: Salmo salar (Atlantic salmon)
Lineage: Eukaryota; Metazoa; Chordata; Actinopteri; Salmoniformes; Salmonidae
Also listed under: 1 other name
Rfam family: tRNA
About the family: Transfer RNA (tRNA) molecules are approximately 80 nucleotides in length. Their secondary structure includes four short double-helical elements and three loops (D, anti-codon, and T loops).
Source: Rfam by way of RNAcentral